AUACUUCACAUGGCAAGGAGAUACCAUAAUCACCAAGGUGAUUUUCCCAGGACCUAUCCAUUGAACUCUGUUUGCAUUCAUCCUUGGGAUUUCUCCCAAAUGUAGUAAACUCAACCACAUAAUUUUUGAAUGUGGAGGACUGCAAUUUACACUCUCCUC
Heterocephalus glaber (naked mole-rat) is the source of this 159-nucleotide small nuclear RNA. Its record names the gene U1. It matches the Rfam family "U1 spliceosomal RNA". From Rfam's summary of the family: U1 is a small nuclear RNA (snRNA) component of the spliceosome (involved in pre-mRNA splicing). Its 5' end forms complementary base pairs with the 5' splice junction, thus defining the 5' donor site of an intron. There are significant differences in sequence and secondary structure between metazoan and yeast U1 snRNAs, the latter being much longer (568 nucleotides as compared to 164 nucleotides in human). NCBI's taxonomy places the organism in Eukaryota, Metazoa, Chordata, Mammalia, Rodentia, Bathyergidae. The record is from Ensembl.